AUAUUGCACUUAGAACGUGAAAAGGAACCCUACCCAACACGCAUCACCCCUCUUACUCUCUUACCUUAGCAUAAAGUUACAGCCUUACAGAUUGGCGUUGCUGAAUUAUAGAGUGGUCCUAACUCCACAGUGGGAGGAGCUCAUGUCUUGUUAGGAGUAUUUGAACUCUCGACUAGACAGUACGGUAAACAAGAUUUUAACUUAUUUUUUGUUCAUAAGGUUGACCUUAUUGUAGAAGGGCUUCUUCUAUCAUUUCCCAUGUAAGUGCAGAGGCAGUGAGAAUCCCAUCAUGCUUUUCCACAGCUUUCUUGAACUUCUUUUAUUGUUUCAAGAAUACCAAAGAAGCUCAAGAAUGCUGUGGGAAGACAUGGCAAAGUAGGGAUUUUGUGAUUUUCCAGUACGUGAGCUGAGAAACUGUUAAUUCUGAGGAAACCAACGUUGCUUGACCAAAGUGAAGGAUGUAAAUUGGCUUUCAACUCUUUGGAAUCCUGACUUUGGCCUAAAUGAUAAUAGUCACGAGGAUGAAUUGUGACCUCAACCACAUGCAACUAUGCGAUUCACUCUUCUCACGAGCCUUCUAAACUUCUUUGCUUCUCUCUCCAAACAAUCUUCAUUUUCUAGGGUUUUCUUCUGUGUUAUUUCUUCAAGUUUUUUGUUCAACUUCUUAACAUAUCUGUGAGGGAAAAAGCUUUAUCCGGGUGUACAAGGCAAAUUGUGUAAGUUUGCAGAGAUUCUGGUUUGCUGUUGUCCAUAUUGUGUUUACGGUUCGUACCGGUUGGAACUGGUGUUCUUUAGUGCAUAUUUUUUCAACAAUGCUCUAUAUACAGGAACCAUGCUACUCAUCCAGGGCCACUGGCCACAUGGGCCCUGAACAAGGGCACGAACAAGCCCCCAUCUGUACGUGUAGCAUGGUCCAUGACCAAUGUGGCCUUGGACGAGCAGAAUAAUCCAUAUGUAUAGAUAGAGUUACCGAAUGGCUGACGACAAUAUUUUAUUGGAAUUUGGACAAAAAUCAAAAUUAAAACCGCCAAUAAGAUACUGUCAUCUUAACACUUGUAAACUGCCUUACACAAUUUAUCUGUACAAAUAGCUUUAUUCUAUUUUUUUAGCCUAGUAAAGCUCUAGGGAUGUAAUAUUUAUUGUAUUGAACCUUGUUAAACCCUUAUGCGUUAUAUUACUUUUUCACUAUUUCUAAAGA
Long non-coding RNA from Olea europaea var. sylvestris, 1198 nucleotides. RefSeq lists it as uncharacterized. The transcript is spliced from 2 exons. The record is from RefSeq and is a predicted model, not a curated record. Lineage: Eukaryota; Viridiplantae; Streptophyta; Magnoliopsida; Lamiales; Oleaceae.